AAGUCGUAACAAGGUUGCCGUAGGUGAACCUGCGGAAGGAUCAAGACCGUACACUCGGGGAGCUUUGCCAAAGGGUCCCCAUGCCCCCUAAUAACCCCACAGUUUAAUGUGAAGCUCAAUGUAAUACAUUGGGUAAAAAAACCGAACAACUGUUAACAAUGGAUAUCUUGGUUCUC
Molecule: unclassified non-coding RNA, 176 nt
Filed under: fungal sp.
Lineage: Eukaryota; Fungi
Description: partial internal transcribed spacer region
Rfam family: Eukaryotic small subunit ribosomal RNA (bases 1-46)
Source: RNAcentral